GGUCAAGUGAAGAAGCGCAUACGGUGGAUGCCUUGGCAGUCAGAGGCGAUGAAAGACGUGGUAGCCUGCGAAAAGCUUCGGGGAGUCGGCAAACAGACUGUGAUCCGGAGAUGUCUGAAUGGGGGAACCCAGCCAUCAUAAGAUGGUUAUCUUACACUGAAUACAUAGGUGUAAGAGGCGAACCAGGGGAACUGAAACAUCUAAGUACCCUGAGGAAAAGAAAUCAACCGAGAUUCCCUUAGUAGUGGCGAGCGAACGGGGACCAGCCCUUAAGUUGUAUUGAGAUUAGCGGAACGCUCUGGAAAGGGCGGCCAUAGCGGGUGAUAGCCCUGUACGCGAAAAUCCCUUUGCAAUGAAAUCGAGUAGGACGGGGCACGAGAAACCUUGUCUGAAUAUGGGGGGACCAUCCUCCAAGGCUAAAUACUACUGACUGACCGAUAGUGAACCAGUACCGUGAGGGAAAGGCGAAAAGAACCGCGGAGAGCGGAGUGAAAUAGAUCCUGAAACCGUAUGCGUACAAGCAGUGGGAGCCCACUUUGUUGGGUGACUGCGUACCUUUUGUAUAAUGGGUCAGCGACUUAUUUUCAGUGGCGAGCUUAACCGAAUAGGGGAGGCGUAGCGAAAGCGAGUCUUAAUAGGGCGUCUAGUCGCUGGGAAUAGACCCGAAACCGGGCGAUCUAUCCAUGGGCAGGUUGAAGGUUGGGUAACACUAACUGGAGGACCGAACCGACUACCGUUGAAAAGUUAGCGGAUGACCUGUGGAUCGGAGUGAAAGGCUAAUCAAGCUCGGAGAUAGCUGGUUCUCCUCGAAAGCUAUUUAGGUAGCGCCUCAUGUAUCACUGUAGGGGGUAGAGCACUGUUUCGGCUAGGGGGUCAUCCCGACUUACCAAACCGAUGCAAACUCCGAAUACCUACAAGUGCCGAGCAUGGGAGACACACGGCGGGUGCUAACGUCCGUCGUGAAAAGGGAAACAACCCAGACCGUCAGCUAAGGUCCCAAAGUCAUGGUUAAGUGGGAAACGAUGUGGGAAGGCUUAGACAGCUAGGAGGUUGGCUUAGAAGCAGCCACCCUUUAAAGAAAGCGUAAUAGCUCACUAGUCGAGUCGGCCUGCGCGGAAGAUGUAACGGGGCUCAAACCAUGCACCGAAGCUACGGGUAUCAUCUUUUGAUGAUGCGGUAGAGGAGCGUUCUGUAAGCCUGUGAAGGUGAGUUGAGAAGCUUGCUGGAGGUAUCAGAAGUGCGAAUGCUGACAUGAGUAACGACAAUGGGUGUGAAAAACACCCACGCCGAAAGACCAAGGUUUCCUGCGCAACGUUAAUCGACGCAGGGUUAGUCGGUCCCUAAGGCGAGGCUGAAAAGCGUAGUCGAUGGAAAACAGGUUAAUAUUCCUGUACUUCUGGUUAUUGCGAUGGAGGGACGGAGAAGGCUAGGCCAGCCUGGCGUUGGUAGUCCAGGUUUAAGGUGGUAGGCUGAGAUCUUAGGUAAAUCCGGGAUCUUAAGGCCGAGAGCUGAUGACGAGUGUUCUUUUAGAACAUGAAGUGGUUGAUGCCAUGCUUCCAAGAAAAGCUUCUAAGCUUCAGGUAACCAGGAACCGUACCCCAAACCGACACAGGUGGUUGGGUAGAGAAUACCAAGGCGCUUGAGAGAACUCGGGUGAAGGAACUAGGCAAAAUGGCACCGUAACUUCGGGAGAAGGUGCGCCGGUGAGGGUGAAGCAUUUACUGCGUAAGCCCACGCCGGUCGAAGAUACCAGGCCGCUGCGACUGUUUAUUAAAAACACAGCACUCUGCAAACACGAAAGUGGACGUAUAGGGUGUGACGCCUGCCCGGUGCCGGAAGGUUAAUUGAUGGGGUUAGCGCAAGCGAAGCUCUUGAUCGAAGCCCCGGUAAACGGCGGCCGUAACUAUAACGGUCCUAAGGUAGCGAAAUUCCUUGUCGGGUAAGUUCCGACCUGCACGAAUGGCGUAACGAUGGCGGCGCUGUCUCCACCCGAGACUCAGUG
RNAcentral lists this ribosomal RNA (2002 nucleotides) under Pseudomonas syringae pv. maculicola. RNAcentral describes it as "partial 23S ribosomal RNA". It matches the Rfam family "Bacterial large subunit ribosomal RNA", at positions 1 to 2038 of the family's 2925-position model. The record is from RNAcentral. Lineage: Bacteria; Pseudomonadati; Pseudomonadota; Gammaproteobacteria; Pseudomonadales; Pseudomonadaceae.